AAUAAUGCCUGUAAAAUGUUGGACAGGAACACCAUCAUUCACUGAUGGAGGACAACGAAAUUUGAGGACAGGAGCGCCAUCAUCUAGCAAUGGAGGAGGAGAAGAAAGACUUCUAUUAACUAAAACAAACAUCCAAUGAUGGAGAACAACAAAGAUGGAGGACCAGAGCACCAGCAUCCAAAAGUGACCCCAAUCAGCCCCAGGAGGAGACAUCAGCAGAGAACAGAAAGACUAUUAACCAAAACAAAAGGAACGCCAGCAUCCACCGAUGGAGGAGGAGAAGAAAGAUGGAGGAGCACCAGUGUCUACAGCGUCCCACAACCAACCUCAUGAGGAGACAUCAGCACAGGAUGAAGAUAAAGGAAGACUUCUAUCAAUCAAUCAUGAAAACAAAGAACACCAGCAUCCACUGAUGGAGGACAAGGAAGAUGGAGGACAGGAGCGCCAUCAUCUACCAAUGGAGGAGGAGAGGAAAGACUUCUAUUAA
RNAcentral lists this long non-coding RNA (487 nucleotides) under Gouania willdenowi (blunt-snouted clingfish). RNAcentral's name for it is "lncRNA (ENSGWIG00000006489.1)". Lineage: Eukaryota; Metazoa; Chordata; Actinopteri; Blenniiformes; Gobiesocidae. The record is from RNAcentral.